AUGUCGAGCCAGUCCGCGAACAUGACCUUGGGGAGCACGGGCGUGUGCGGCCGGAUCGAGGCUACAACGCCGGGGACUGUGAGGUUGCUCGAAUCGUCGGCCAUCGGCGACGACUCCAGCGGCCCUGACGAGCCGGAGAUGGACGGUUGGUUAACGGUGUUGCGUUCGCGGGUGCUGUCGCUGGGCGGCGUGCUCCGGGGCGCGUCCGAGCCGGCGGACUUGGCUGGUGACCGCUCGCCCUCGACGCGCUUCUUCAGAGUUGUGAUGUGUGCUUGGGAUGCUUACUUGUUGCCGAGUGUGGCAUGGAGGCUCAUGACGGUCUCUUCUUCCUCCCGGGAGAACAUGCCGUGCUUCAGCCCCGGCCUCAGGUAG
This 372-nucleotide ribosomal RNA is filed under the name Triticum aestivum (bread wheat). Its description in RNAcentral is "partial small subunit ribosomal RNA". Lineage: Eukaryota; Viridiplantae; Streptophyta; Magnoliopsida; Poales; Poaceae. The record is from RNAcentral.